GAUAACAGGCUGAUUUUCCACAUCGACGGGAAGGUUUGGCACCUCGAUGUCGGCUCUUCGCCACCUGGAGCUGCAGGUGGUUCCAAGGGUUAGGCUGUUCGCCCAUUAAUGUGCCCUUCCAGUACAGUACACAGUUCACGAGAAGGCUA
Molecule: non-coding RNA, 149 nt
Filed under: Leersia perrieri
Lineage: Eukaryota; Viridiplantae; Streptophyta; Magnoliopsida; Poales; Poaceae
Description: Bacterial large subunit ribosomal RNA
Rfam family: Bacterial large subunit ribosomal RNA
Source: Rfam by way of RNAcentral